AUUGAACGCUGGCGGCAGGCCUAACACAUGCAAGUCGAACGCGUGGCGGACGGGUGAGUAAUGUUUGGGAAACUGCCCGAUGUAGGGGGAUAACUACUGGAAACGGUAGCUAAUACCGCGUACUAUCAGAUGAGCCUAGGUCGGAUUAGCUAGUUGGUGGGGUAAAGGCCUACCAAGGCGACGAUCCGUAACUGGUCUGAGAGGAUGUUCAGUCACCCUGGAACUGAGACACGGUCCAGACUCCUACGGGAGGCAGCAGUGGGGAAUAUGGGACAAUGGGCGAAAGCCUGAUCCAGCCAUACCGCGUGGGUGAAGAAGGCCUUCGGGUUGUAAAGCCCUUUUGUUGGGAAAGCGGUACCCAAAGAAUAAGCACCGGCUAACUUCGUGCCAGCAGCCGCGGUAAUAC
Molecule: ribosomal RNA, 406 nt
Filed under: uncultured bacterium
Lineage: Bacteria
Description: partial 16S ribosomal RNA
Rfam family: Bacterial small subunit ribosomal RNA
Source: RNAcentral